CUCAGCCAUUUAUAAUUGUUUGAUAGUUAUGACAGUGCUAUACAUUUAAUCUCAUUUAUACUUUAUUACUCUUUCAUCCCACACAUUUCCUUUCAUUAUAACGCUGUCAUGAUAUCGUGCUUUCAUUUCGAUGAAACGAAAGUCUGAUGGGACAAUCGAUGGCGCGGAAUGAACUGGGUACAAGACUGCUUAGUUUGGUCUCAUCCUCGUUCUCAGGGCCUCACGACCGCGCGCGAACUCCAUAGGCCCUGGAAUACACGGAACCGGAAGCGCAAGAAAACUUGCAGUAGUUUCUAAAGCGCAUGCUCUUGAAUUGGGACGCUUCAGCAACCGUAAUAAUUUUCACAGACAAGUAUUACGAAGGAACCAAGUAUUUGUGUUGACAUAUUUUGAUAGAAAAAUCUUUUCUAGCGAAAAUUUCUCAACUUCUGCGAAAUAGCAGUUCUCUGAGAAGCCAAUUAGAUCUCUCCCUUCGGUCGUCUAACCCAGAGCCUAAUUUUCAACGAAUUUUCAAUGGCUCUGGGGACGAGAAUGGUUUGGUCUGCAAUGUUUGAUUGUCUUCCUUAAGGCUACACCUUAAAAAUCUCACAGCUUGUCAACAAGAUGUGUUCGCACUGCUUGUUCCCAAUUGUUGACAAGUCUGGAAUAAGUUGUUAUCAUCUUGUAACAAGGUUGACGAGGCCAACAGACUCGCAACAAGUUGUUCCAACAAGUCUGAUAUCGUCUGCACGUAACAAGUUGUUAAUAAGACCCCGUUUACACGGUACCGGACGAAUUUGGGACCGGACGAAAAUUCGUCCUUUUUCGCCUGUUUACACGCGAAUUCGUCCUGUUAGGGGGUCUCAAAUUCGUCAGGUUUCGUGGUUCUCGUGUGUUUACACGGACGAAACGGACGAAUUUUCGUCCGGUCACAAAUUCGUCCGGUACCGUGUAAACGGGGUCUAAGUUGAUGACAACAAGCUCGUAGCAACUUGUUAAGGCGUUUUUCCACUAAGCGGAAUUUUUCGACCGAAUCGAAAUUUUCUUUUGUCUUACGAGCACUCAGAUGGAACUAAACAGAAAUCUUUUGAAUUUGAACAAUAGAAAUUUCCGUUCGAUCGAAAAAUUUCGCCUAUUAAGGCGGUUUUCCACUCCUUAAAAGGCGGUUUUCCACUAGGCGAAAUUUUUUUUCGACCGAAUCGAAAUUUCUC
Paramuricea clavata is the source of this 1190-nucleotide non-coding RNA. NCBI's taxonomy places the organism in Eukaryota, Metazoa, Cnidaria, Anthozoa, Malacalcyonacea, Plexauridae. The record is from the annotation of a GenBank genome assembly.